This 484-nucleotide ribosomal RNA is filed under the name uncultured bacterium. RNAcentral's name for it is "partial 16S ribosomal RNA". It matches the Rfam family "Bacterial small subunit ribosomal RNA", at positions 30 to 507 of the family's 1533-position model. The record is from RNAcentral.
AUUGAACGCUGGCGGCAUGCUUUACACAUGCAAGUUGAACGGCAGCGCGGGCUUCGGCCUGGCGGCGAGUGGCGAACGGGUGAGUAAUACAUCGGAACGUGCCCAGUAGUGGGGGAUAGCUCGGCGAAAGCCGGAUUAAUACCGCAUACGACCUGAGGGUGAAAGCGGGGGAUCUUCGGACCUCGCGCUAUUGGAUCGGCCGAUGGCAGAUUAGCUAGUUGGUGGGGUAAAGGCCUACCAAGGCGACGAUCUGUAGCUGGUCUGAGAGGACGACCAGCCACACUGGGACUGAGACACGGCCCAGACUCCUACGGGAGGCAGCAGUGGGGAAUUUUGGACAAUGGGCGAAAGCCUGAUCCAGCAAUGCCGCGUGUGUGAUGAAGGCCUUCGGGUUGUAAAGCACUUUUGGCGGGAACGAAAAGGACUGUGCCAAUACCACGGUUCGAUGACGGUACCCGCAGAAUAAGCACCGGCUAACUACGUG